This 328-nucleotide long non-coding RNA is filed under the name Mytilus galloprovincialis (Mediterranean mussel). Lineage: Eukaryota; Metazoa; Mollusca; Bivalvia; Mytilida; Mytilidae. The record is from RNAcentral.
AAACAAGUUAAGUUUAGUCCCUGCAUCUUCAGAGCAGAAUUCUAGUUAUUGUUUGGACAAAAUAUUAAUAGGCCUUACAGUUGUUAUACAUGUAAUAAGAUUAACUAAAGCCAUGCCAAUAUAUUCGCAUGAUUUUUUUGCAACUCUGAUCAGCUAGUCAAAGAGAUUCCAGAAGAACAUUCAAACUAAAUUAAACAGACACCACCAUGGCACCAUGGCUAUAAAAAAAAAAGACAAACAAUAGUACAAAAAUUACAACAUAGAAAACAUUUUACUAAAGACUGAGCAACACAAACCCAAGCAAGUUUACAUCUACUAUCAGUCAGGG